Molecule: ribosomal RNA, 253 nt
Filed under: uncultured bacterium
Lineage: Bacteria
Description: partial 16S ribosomal RNA
Rfam family: Bacterial small subunit ribosomal RNA
Source: RNAcentral
GACAGAGGGUGCAAACGUUGCUCGGAAUCACUGGGCGUAAAGGGCGUGUAGGCGGGAAGGAAAGUCAGAUGUGAAAUCCCUGGGCUCAACCCGGGAACUGCAUUUGAAACUCCCUUUCUUGAGUGUCGGAGAGGAAAGCGGAAUUCCUGGUGUAGAGGUGAAAUUCGUAGAUAUCAGGAGGAACACCGGUGGCGAAGGCGGCUUUCUGGACGACAACUGACGCUGAGACGCGAAAGCGUGGGGAGCAAACAGG